UACGUAGGUGGCAAGCGUUAUCCGGAUUUAUUGGGCGUAAAGGGAACGCAGGCGGUCUUUUAAGUCUGAUGUGAAAGCCUUCGGCUUAACCGGAGUAGUGCACUGGAAACUGGGAGACUUGAGUGCAGAAGAGGAGAGUGGAACUCCAUGUGUAGCGGUGAAAUGCGUAGAUAUAUGGAAGAACACCAGUGGCGAAAGCGGCUCUCUGGUCUGUAAUUGACGCUGAGGUUCGAAAGCGUGGGUAGCAAACAGG
This 253-nucleotide ribosomal RNA is filed under the name uncultured bacterium. RNAcentral's name for it is "partial 16S ribosomal RNA". It matches the Rfam family "Bacterial small subunit ribosomal RNA", at positions 524 to 776 of the family's 1533-position model. The record is from RNAcentral.